AUGAUCAAAGUGUGGAUGAUGGGCACUGGGUGGCAAGAAUGUGGCAGAGGUUGCUUUGAGGUCAGCCUAGGCUACUGUCCCAUAGCAGAUGUGGCUCAGAGAAACAUAUGGUACCAAGAGGCCACCAGUUGCAGGACUGAGUCCACAGGUGAUCAGUUGUCCAUAAGUCAGAGGAUGAGAGAAGGUGCACAUGCCAGGACCAGCAUAGACACCAGAGCCCCGUCAUGCCAAGAACAAAACCUGCCACAGCAUAUCUUUCUGGCUAACAUUGCAGACUUUGGAGUCAGAAGAUUGAUACCAGUAAAGGCGAAAAGGAACAGGAAAGUUAACCUCAUUUAACAAGUGUUAACUAUGCAUAUACCAUAAUCCAAGAUCACAGGGCUAACUUUUAGAAAUAUAGCUCUGAAACAGGCAGACAAGGAACUAACUCUCACAAAAUUUAUCUUCCAAUAGAGAGAGACAUACAAUAAAUGAAAAAAUAGAGAAGAUUACCCAGGGGUUGGUGUUCUUAUACAGGGGGAAACCAUCAUGAUACAGAGACUAUUUCAGUCAAGGGUUCAGGGAAAACCACUCUAGAAGAUGACUUUUAGGUUGAGACCUAAAUAAAAGGAUAGAUUAAGUCAUCUGAAGAAAGGUCAAAGACACUGGGUAACAUGUCAAGAGAACAAGAAGACUGGGUGGCAUAAAUGUUUAACUGUAGUCAACUUCGUAUCAUGAUGUCUUUUAGGAUAUAGUCAUGAGUUUCUAAUUUCUUUCUGCAUUUAAAAAAAUACAAUGAGUAUCUGAAGAAUUAAUGUUUAUAUCUUAACAUCCAGGGAUUUUUCCACACAAAAAGUCCACCGGUAGUGUCCUAGAUUUAAAGUUAAUGUCAAUUUAUUGCAAUAAAUAUUUUUAAACUUAUUUUCAUUUGACAUACAAAUUAAAAUAUUCUAUGUGUAAUUCUAG
RNAcentral lists this long non-coding RNA (945 nucleotides) under Macaca mulatta (Rhesus monkey). RNAcentral's name for it is "lncRNA (ENSMMUG00000054223.1)". The record is from RNAcentral. Lineage: Eukaryota; Metazoa; Chordata; Mammalia; Primates; Cercopithecidae.